CAGAUCACAGUGGAUGUAUGCGAGUUACAUUUCACGAGUAAACAGCAUGGCUUUUCGUUCACAAUUAUAUCAUCCUAAGCUCAGGCAUUUACUUCUUCCAUGCGCUUUAUUUGUUUGUGGCUUGAUUAUUUUUAUUUGUGGAUUGGUAAGAACCUUUCAUGUUGGAGAAAAAAUGCCAAGAAAUGCCAAAGAAAAAAAAACUGUUCAAGCACGAAAUGAAUAUGUUGAAUGGUGGAAUGCCUUUCCUCUGAUGCUUAGUGCUCUGUUGGGAA
Xenia sp. Carnegie-2017 is the source of this 272-nucleotide long non-coding RNA. RefSeq lists it as uncharacterized. The record is from RefSeq and is a predicted model, not a curated record. The transcript is spliced from 4 exons. Lineage: Eukaryota; Metazoa; Cnidaria; Anthozoa; Malacalcyonacea; Xeniidae.